AUGGCCGCCUGCGCCGGUGACCCUGCCUGCAGCCUCCCAUGGCGCCCCUCGCUGGAGGUCAACGACAAGCUCACGGGGCGUGCUGCUUCUCGUCCUUGCCUAGGAGCGACGACGUCCGCUCCAUGGACUGGCCGCAGAGGUCGGGCAGCCGAGGCCACUCGGAUCCUGGCGGCGCACGCAAUCGUAAGAGGGACGAUACCUCGCCGGAGGUCAGGGGCGCGAGCUCUACCGGAGGUCCUGGCCGGCAUCGUGGACGACGCAUGGCGUGGAGGAGGAGAAAAGGCGUGGCUGGCGGUGGGCUUUCGGCCGCGGCGACAGGAGCCGGUGGGGGCGGCGCGGUCGGGUGCAAGGGGUGGCGGCUGUAGCCUCCUCCCGAUCGGAUCCAGAGAAGGGGAUCAAGAGCAGGGGGUUGAUUGCUUUCUAUUUUUGGAUCCAGAGGAGAUAAUCCGCCUUUCACUGGUUAGUGUUCAGUUCAUUGACACACUUUUCAAGGGAGCAGAAGUUUCCUAG
This 510-nucleotide ribosomal RNA is filed under the name Triticum aestivum (bread wheat). RNAcentral describes it as "partial small subunit ribosomal RNA". The record is from RNAcentral. Lineage: Eukaryota; Viridiplantae; Streptophyta; Magnoliopsida; Poales; Poaceae.